Molecule: ribosomal RNA, 407 nt
Filed under: uncultured bacterium
Lineage: Bacteria
Description: partial 16S ribosomal RNA
Rfam family: Bacterial small subunit ribosomal RNA
Source: RNAcentral
AUUGAACGCUAGCGGGAUGCCUUACACAUGCAAGUCGAACGGAGUUGCGAACGGGUGUGUAAUGUAUCGGCACGUGCCCAGUAGCGGGGGAUAACUACGCGAACGCGUAGCUAAUACCGCAUACUCUUGGAUCUGCCGUUAUCGGAUUAGCUAGUUGGUGGGGUAACGGCGCACCAAGGCGACGAUCCGUAGCUGGUUUGAGAGGACGACCAGCCACACUGGGACAGAGACACGGUCCACACGCCUACGGGAGGCAGCAGUGGGGAAUUUUGGUCAACGGGGGAAACCCUGAUCCAGCCAUCCGGCGUGUGGUAUGAAGGCCUUCGGGUCGUAAAGCACUUUGGGAAGGAAGGCGGUACCUGCAGAAUAAGCACCGGCUAACUACGUGCCAGCCGCCGCGGUAAUUC